RNAcentral lists this ribosomal RNA (385 nucleotides) under uncultured bacterium. Its description in RNAcentral is "bacterial SSU rRNA". It matches the Rfam family "Bacterial small subunit ribosomal RNA", at positions 29 to 415 of the family's 1533-position model. The record is from RNAcentral.
AUUGAACGCUGGCGGCGUGCCUAACACAUGCAAGUCGAGCGGCAGCGCGGGAGCAAUCCUGGCGGCGAGCGGCGGACGGGUGAGCAAUGCUUAGGAAUCUGCCUAUCAGUGGGGGACAACCCGGGGAAACUCGGGCUAAUACCGCAUACGUUCUGAGGAAGAAAGCAGGGGAUCGCAAGACCUUGCGCUGAUAGAUGAGCCUAAGUCGGAUUAGCUAGUUGGUGAGGUAAUGGCUCACCAAGGCGACGAUCCGUAGCUGGUCUGAGAGGACGACCAGCCACACCGGAACUGAGACACGGUCCGGACUCCUACGGGAGGCAGCAGUGGGGAAUAUUGGACAAUGGGGGAAACCCUGAUCCAGCGACGCCGCGUGGGUGAAGAAGGC